CAGUCGCCACGGGAAUACAGAGGGUGCGAGCGUUAAUCGGAUUUACUGGGCGUAAAGCGUGCGUAGGCGGCUUUUUAAGUCGGAUGUGAAAUCCCUGAGCUUAACUUAGGAAUUGCAUUCGAUACUGGGAAGCUAGAGUAUGGGAGAGGAUGGUAGAAUUCCAGGUGUAGCGGUGAAAUGCGUAGAGAUCUGGAGGAAUACCGAUGGCGAAGGCAGCCAUCUGGCCUAAUACUGACGCUGAGGUACGAAAGCAUGGGGAGCAAACAGGAUUAGAUACCCGAGUAGUCCCUGUCUCUUAUAU
This 301-nucleotide ribosomal RNA is filed under the name uncultured bacterium. Its description in RNAcentral is "partial 16S ribosomal RNA". It matches the Rfam family "Bacterial small subunit ribosomal RNA", at positions 509 to 809 of the family's 1533-position model. The record is from RNAcentral.